Molecule: ribosomal RNA, 386 nt
Filed under: uncultured bacterium
Lineage: Bacteria
Description: bacterial SSU rRNA
Rfam family: Bacterial small subunit ribosomal RNA
Source: RNAcentral
AUUGAACGCUGGCGGCAUGCCUUACACAUGCAAGUCGAACGGCAGCACGGGAGCAAUCCUGGUGGCGAGUGGCGAACGGGUGAGUAAUAUAUCGGGACGUGCCCAGUCGUGGGGGAUAACGUAGCGAAGGCUACGCUAAUACCGCAUACGAUCUAUGGAUGAAAGCGGGGGAUCGCAAGACCUCGCGCGAUUGGAGCGGCCGAUAUCAGAUUAGGUAGUUGGUGGGGUAAAAGCCUACCAAGCCUUCGAUCUGUAGCUGGUCUGAGAGGACGACCAGCCACACUGGAACUGAGACACGGUCCAGACUCCUACGGGAGGCAGCAGUGGGGAAUUUUGGACAAUGGGCGCAAGCCUGAUCCAGCAAUGCCGCGUGCAGGAUGAAGGCC